UUAAGAUACUAAGAGCAUACGGUGGAUGCCUUGGCGAUAUCUGCCGACGAAGGACGUGACAAGCUGCGAAAAGCUGCGGAGAGAUGCAAAUAAUCGGCGACCCGCAGACAUCCGAAUGGAGAAAUCCGGCUGUGAUGAUGCACAGCCAUCCAUGCCCAAGAGCAUGAGAAGGGAACCGGGCGAACUGAAACAUCUAAGUAGCCCGAGGAAAAGAAAUCAAACGAGAUACCCCAAGUAGCGGCGAGCGAACAGGGAAGAAGCCCAAACCGGUGAAGGAAACUUUACCGGGGUUGAGGACCAUCAGAACCGCGAAGAACUUUAGCCGAAACUGUUGGGAAACAGUGCCAAAGACAGUGAAAGCCUGGUAGGCGAAAAAGAGAAACGCGGAGAUGGUACCAGAGUACCGCGGGACACGAGAAAUCCCGUGGGAAGCAGGGGGGACCACCCUCCAAGGCAAAACACAGAUAUCGACCGAUAGCGCAUAGUACCAUGAGGGAAAGGUGAAAAGCACCCCGGGAGGGGAAUGAAAGAGAACCUGAAACCGUAUGUUUACAAGCAGUCGGAGACCGCUUAAUAAUAAGGUCGACGGCGUGCCUAUUGAAGAAUGAACCGGCGAGUUACGAAGCCUGGCAAGGUUAAGCAGGAAAUGCGGAGCCGAAGCGAAAGCGAGUCUUAAGAGGGCGCAAGUCAGGAAGCGUAGACCCGAAACCACAGUGAUCUACCCAUGUCCAGGUUGAAACACAGGUAAAAAUGUGUGGAGGACCGAACCUAUAUCCGUUGAAAAGGGUUAGGAUGAGGUGUGGGUAGGGGUGAAAUUCCAAUCGAACGUGGAGAUAGCUGGUUCUCCCCGAAAUAGCUUUAGGGCUAGCCUCAGGGAAAAGAUUGCAGGCGGUAGAGCACUGAUCAGGAGAGGGACCUACCCGGUUACCAAACCCAGUCAAACUCCGAAUGGCUGCAAUCAUACCUGGGAGUCAGACUGCGACUAAUAAGGGCCGCAGUCAAAAGGGAAACAGCCCAGACCAUCAGCUAAGGUCCCCAAUGCCGUGCUAAGUGGCGAAGGAUGUGGCAUUUCAUAAACAACCAGGAUGUUGGCUCAGAAGCAGCCACCAUUUAAAGAGUGCGUAAUAGCUCACUGGUCGAGAGACGCUGCGCCGAAAAUGUCCGGGGCUCAAGCACGGAACCGAAGCUAUGGCAUGAUAGCAAUAUCAUGGGUAGGGGAGCGUUCUUAUAAGGAAGAAGCAUGACCGGAAGGACAUGUGGACGAAUAAGAAGUGAGAAUGCCGGUAUGAGUAUCGAAAAGAAAGGUGAGAAUCCUUUCCACCGAAAGCCCGAGGGUUCCUGAGCAACGAUCGUCGACUCAGGGUAAGUCGGGACCUAAGCCGAGGCGAGAAGCGUAGGCGAUGGACAACAGGUUGAAAUUCCUGUACCGGAUCAAGUCGAUCGAGCGAAGGAGCGACGCAGGAGGGCACAUGAUCGCGCGGCUGGAAGAGCGCGUCCAAGUGCGUAUGUUGCAGCAGAGGAAAACCCCUGCAGCUAAAAGCAGAGACAUGAUGGGGAGUUAAAGGAAACUUUGACGAACUCAUGGAUCCCACACUGCCAAGAAAAACUUCUAGCGAGACAAGAUCCGCCCGUACCGUAAACCGACACAGGUAGGCGGGGAGAGAAUCCUAAGGUGCGCGGGAAAACCCUCGUUAAGGAACUCGGCAAAUUGCAUCCGUAACCUAGGGAGAAGGAUGGCCCCCGGUCAGUGAAGAGCAGAAACGCUCAGAGCUAAAAGGGGCGGCAGAAAAGAGGCCCAAGCAACUGUUUACCAAAAACACAGGUGCCUGCGAAAGCGAAAGCUGAAGUAUAGGUGCUGACGCCUGCCCGGUGCCGGAAGGUUAAGGAGAGAAGUUAGCGAAAGCGAAGCAUCGAACUGAAGCCCCGGUGAACGGCGGCCGUAACUAUAACGGUCCUAAGGUAGCGAAAUUCCUUGUCGGGUAAG
RNAcentral lists this ribosomal RNA (1984 nucleotides) under human gut metagenome. RNAcentral's name for it is "bacterial LSU rRNA". It matches the Rfam family "Bacterial large subunit ribosomal RNA", at positions 1 to 1980 of the family's 2925-position model. The record is from RNAcentral.